GAAAGCCACUGACCAAAACCGUUUGAAGCCUCAGAAGAAGACAGGGGACACUCCUGCGGGAAGUUUCCUUUCACAAUGAAGAUGCUCCAUCCUGAGCCUCUGAGAGAGUCGAGAAACGCAGAGAGGUAGAAUUUCGACAGGUGUUGCGGUGCGGCGAGAAGGCUGUCGAAGUUAUACCAUUCUCCGUUCACUUUCCUUAUGCAGAACCAGUGGUCGUGCAAGUGGCAGAUGAAUGCGUUUUCAAGCUCGGGGUCUAUCUGCGCAGGCUCUGCAUCGCGGCAAUUGAGAGGGAUCACUUGUAAGUUCCACACUUCCAAAGCCUUUUGCAAGACCUGUUAAUCAAAAAUACAAAGCUUCCUCAGUGAAAAGUCUGAAGCUUUACACACUACACAGAUAACUAAAAACCUGCAAAAAAUGCUUCUAUCCUUGUACGUUUAUUUAUUAUAAAUGGUAUGUAAAUCUUCUACACACAAAACUUGCAAGCAAAACUGACUCAUGUCUCAGCAGACUAAUCAAGCUACUACCUUUCAAGCUUAUACAGGAACAACAGAUGAUAAGAUACAUGUUACAAGAAACAAUCAUGAUCAGACUCGAAGUGAGUCAAAGAUAUACAAACAUAAAGUCGGAGAAUGCAUCAUUACUAAUCUCAAUUCACUAUAUUUAUUAUCAAAUUGAUUCGAUCUGUAGCACUUAAAUUGGUGUAUUCAUCUUCAAGAUCGCAGAGAUACGCAUUCAAAAGUUUUCCAUUUCAGAUUCUUGUGCACUUAAACAACACACAAAACUUGCAAGCAGAACUGACACGUGUCAAAGCAGACUAAUCAAGCUACUAGCUUUCAAGUUCUGACACGAGACAAUCAUGAUCAAACAGGCGAGUGCGUAACAGAUACAAACAUAAAGUCAAUCUUAGCCCCAUUACUAAUCUCAAUUCACUAACUUUGUAAUCAAAUUGAUCCGAUCUGUAGCACUUAGCUAUAAAAGUUCGAAUCUUUAAACUUGUGCAUUCAAGAAAUGGCAAUUGUACCUGGAUACUGAAAUCGCCGCCGAGGGAAACGUUGUGAGACUCCUCAGAGAAGAAAUCGCCGGCGGAAAAGGUUCCUGCGGCGGCGCCUUCGAGCAUGACCUGGCGCUCCUUCCCGUCGAGAUCGGAGGCGACGGCAGCCAAAUCGAAUUCGGAGAAGAAAGGACCCUGGAGCACGGUGUUGACGCAGUGAACGGCGCAGAGAUUGGCUUCCUGAACCUCGUGGUACAAGAUUCCUCCGUUGCUCGGUCGCUCCAUGGUCGAUCAAGAUUCAAAAUCAAAACCCUAAUCUCCUUUAAGAAUCCGUGACGAUAUAUAUAUGUGGAGCGAUGCGAAAGUCUUUGCCUUGAAGCAAUUAGGAAGGCAAGCAGAAGAAAUGGGAGGAGAUGGGAAGUUGGAAAUAAAAUAUUUACACACACCCUUUUUUCAUUAUCCUUUUAUAUUAAAAUGUUUCCCCCACGUCAUUACACAUGUGUCAUGAUUUUUUUUUAACGAAAUUGUUCUCCUUGUUAAGCUACAAUAAAUUAAAUUUAAAUUCUUGGAUUUGACUUGAGUAAUUUAAUGCUUUUACUUUUUUUACACUUUCAACUUAGUAUGUGAUAUUUUGGUUUCUGAUAUAUGAUGAUAGCAUAUCUAGAAAUGCUUUAGAAAAAAUAACAUACUCGCAAAUAAAAGCGCCAGCGUGCAAUAUAUCCAAACACCGAACCCCCCAGCCAGUCUCCACCGACCUAAACACCUCGAGUCUACUCCUCAACCCCUUCUGCGUCACGCGGUUCCGACACGUCGGAGGGCACUUACACCCCGGUCCACACUCAUGCACCAACGGCCUCAUUCUUAUCAAAUUCCCGUUGUAAUCAUAAGCAAACUCGCCACCGUUCUUCCUCUCGCAGAUGCAGCCGCUGCUACAACCGCUGACACAUUCGCAUCCACUCGCAUUAUCACCAUUACUACCACCCAAUAUGCCGCGAGGGAAAGAAGUAGUGGCGAGAUACUCAUAGUACAACGGCUCCUGAUCGUCAUCAACGUCGUUGAACAAAUACACAGGAGCGUUCUCCUUCCUGUUGGAGAUAUCGAAGCUGAUGUACCCGCUCGGUCUCACAGACAAAGGGUUGGUUUUAAGCGUCUUGGCGAACUUCAACACCGACGUCCCCAUCUCCACCUGCCCUCCGAUCCUCUCCAGCCUAAAUUUAAAAACACCGAACCCGGACUUCCCCACAUCGAACCAAGAAUCAACGAUCCUAAACAGCCCAUCAUAAACAUAAACCUUGCUAGAAACAGCGUUCUCGUACUUAAAACCUCUAACGACUCUCACUUCGAUCCCGUAGUACAUACUCCUCUCCAUAGCGAGAUUCCCACCUUCGAGCUUCUGAUGCUCAGCCUGCCUCCCGAGCUUGUCCUGCCCUCCAUGUCCCGUGUAGAUAAUCACAUCCCCUUGAUCAUCAUCAUCCUCAUAACCACCUGAAUUCAAAUCAAAUCAAUCAAUAGAAAGUUUGUUAUUCAGCUCAAAAGAAAACUAAACCAUAAUUAAUCUAACUAAACCGGAAUCUGACUGAACCGGUUUAAAUUCACCUGAGACAAUCACGCUGGUGGCGAUCGGCUCUCCGUUAGAGCUGCGGGAGCCAAUGAGAUAGUCAAUCCCAGCCUGCGUCUGUCCGUGCAACCCCAUGACGCAGAGCUCGAGCCUGAAGAAGAAGAUGUCUCCGACCUGGACGCCGGGGAUCGAACCGACGAUGCGUUUGUCCCGAUUAAGCCAAAGGAAACGCUCUUUCAUCAUCGAGGCGGCUUUGCUAUCGGGCCUGCCUCUCCUCCUUCCGAGCUCUUCACGAGUCUCCUCGAGGAUCAAGAAGAUCCGAAGAGAAUCGUAGAUCAUCCUCGUCUUCCUCACCACUUCCCGGAACUGCCUCUCUCCCUCGGGGCCGACGUCGGUGAUCCUCACGAGCUCAGACGAGCGCUCCUGAGGUUUACGCGGCUUGAGGGACUGCGAAGGGUAACUGACCGGAUCCGGAUCCGGAUCUUGCUCCUCGGGAACGGGUACGAUGGCGCCGGUUAGGGAAUCGAGGACCGUGACGUCCUCGUGGCGUUUGAGGCGCUGUGCGAAGGCGGAGCGGAAAGUCUCGGCGACGUUGGUGAACUCGGUGUACAAGUUAGGUUCGAGGGGAGAUUGGGUGGUGGUGGUGUUGAAAUUGAAGAAGGAUGAGGGUGGAAUCGGAGUUUGUGGGGAGGAAUCAGUGACUGGCUCCGGCUUAGGGAUCACCAUAGGUAUGUGAGAAGUCAUCUCUCUCUCUCUCUUUCAAGGAGAAGAAGAAGAAGAAGGGGGUAACUAGGUUUUGAGCGAUAAAUCGAAGAAAUAGGGUUUUUUUUUAAUUUUUGGUUCUUCAAGCUAAGCCGAGAAGAAGCUUCAUUCAUUUUCUUAAAUGAUCAAUAUAAACAAACUUUUGAAACAUUUAUUGUUUAACUAAAAGUAUUAUCCCUUCUAGUCUAUUUAUUAUUUUGUCAAAAUCAAUUACAGUUUGUAAAAGUAUUGAAGCAAAAAAUAAACUUACGAAAGCAGUAUUUAAGUAUUUAACACAUAUCAUGAAGCAGAAAAAAAAAAUAUUUAUCUAUUUUAUUUUAAUUUUCUUAAAUGAAUAUAUAAACAAAUAUUUGAAACAUUUACCAUUUCAGUAUUUAAGAUUUUCAGAAUUAAAGAUGGGUUGUUUUACCAAAAAAAAAAGAACUCAAACAAAACACCAUAUCACAAGCCCUUUGGUUUCUGUCGAUGUAAAGCUUUCUAUGUUCUGUAUGUAAAAUAUUUAGACAACAAAAACAAAAACAGAAUCAAAGUAAGUGUUCCUUCACCCACAUCAAUGAAAAGCCUUUGGUUCUCUAUUUUCUCAGCUACUUUUGUUUCUCAGAUUCCUUUUGAGAAGAAGACCCAACAGCUCCAGGAUUAGCACCAGCCGCACAAGCAUCCAGCAAACUCGCUGCAAUCGCUGCCUUCAAGUCAUCAUCCUCCAUCUCCGAAAAAGCCCUCACUUCCUCCCUCGACAAUGCCUCGUAUGGUCUCUGUUGAUCAACAUUAUCACUAGUUCUGUUUCCACUGGCAGAAGAAGGAGAACUCCUCCGCACUGCUCCCGUGGUCUUUAACAGCCUCUCUGCGUCUUCAGGAGAAAGCCACUGACCAAAACCGUUUGAAGCCUCAGAAGAAGACAGGGGACACUCCUGCGGGAAGUUUCCUUUCACAAUGAAGAUGCUCCAUCCUGAGCCUCUGAGAGAGUCGAGAAACGCAGAGAGGUAGAAUUUCGACAGGUGUUGCGGUGCGGCGAGAAGGCUGUCGAAGUUAUACCAUUCUCCGUUCACUUUCCUUAUGCAGAACCAGUGGUCGUGCAAGUGGCAGAUGAAUGCGUUUUCAAGCUCGGGGUCUAUCUGCGCAGGCUCUGC
RNAcentral lists this long non-coding RNA (4438 nucleotides) under Brassica napus (rape). Its description in RNAcentral is "long non-coding RNA (BNAP_LNC008202)". Lineage: Eukaryota; Viridiplantae; Streptophyta; Magnoliopsida; Brassicales; Brassicaceae. The record is from RNAcentral.